AUCGAACGCUGGCGGCAUGCUUUACACAUGCAAGUCGAACGGUAGAGGGGCAACCCUUGAGAGUGGCGAACGGGUGAGUAAUGCAUCGGAACGUGCCCAGUAGUGGGGGAUAGCCCGGCGAAAGCCGGAUUAAUACCGCAUGAGACCUGAGGGUGAAAGCGGGGGAUCGCAAGACCUCGCGCUAUUGGAGCGGCCGAUGUCAGAUUAGCUAGUUGGUGGGGUAAAGGCCUACCAAGGCGACGAUCUGUAGCUGGUCUGAGAGGACGACCAGCCACACGGGGACUGAGACACGGCCCAGACUCCUACGGGAGGCAGCAGUGGGGAAUUUUGGACAAGGGCGCAAGCCUGAUCCAGCCAUGCCGCGUGCGGGAAGAAGGCCUUCGGGUUGUAAACCGCUUUUGUCAGGGAAGAAAUCUUCUGGGCUAAUACCCUGGGAGGAUGACGGUACCUGAAGAAUAAGCACCGGCUAACUACGUGCCAGCAGCCGCCGUAA
Molecule: ribosomal RNA, 493 nt
Filed under: uncultured bacterium
Lineage: Bacteria
Description: partial 16S ribosomal RNA
Rfam family: Bacterial small subunit ribosomal RNA
Source: RNAcentral